UCAUACUGUUACAGUGAUGCUUUCUUUUAACUGUCUUGUUUACACAUGCACAGUGUAUUGUUGAUUAAUUUAAGCUUAUAGAAAAUGUUGCAUGCCUGAGGAUAUUUUCAAUUUGCCAAUACACUGCUGAUUCUAAUUAUUUAGAGAAAUUUUAGUUUUCACAAUGGCCUGCUGGUGCUGUGAGAAGCAAGGCCAUCAGUGUACCAGACAGCACUAGGACCUUGUGCUGUGGCUCAAAUACAGCUAAAAUAAGUUGUGUUAUUUCCAUUUCAUUGCUGUGUAGUGAUCUCUGUGAAGCCCAUUGGUAGGCUCAUAACAAAACCAAUUGUGAUGCUACCUCUUCUGUUAAUUUUGAGGAUUACUUACUGAGUAAUCAGAGGACAUGCCCCUUCAUCCUUGUUUAAAUCCAGUCCCGCUCUCUGUUAUCACUAACAGAUUGUGUAAUCACUAGGACUGUGUAAUUAUGUGAUUGUGUUAUCACUUACAGAUUGUGUAAUCUCUAGGAGAGCUGGGUGUGCUCAGGAGAGUUGAAUAUCAUGUCACAUUCUUAUGUACAGUCAAUAGAAAAUUCAAAGUAAAUAACCACAGCAACCAGCUUAAAAUUUUACCUUCUAUUUUGAAAUAUAUCUGUAAUGCUGUCUGCUGAAUAGGUAAUUAACCCUUUUUUUUUUAAAAAAAAAAAAAAAAGUAUUUUUAAGAAAGUUAGUGGAGCCUCAUAAUCCUUCCACUUGGCUAUUGCAACCUAAGAGCAGGUCUCAAAAACAAUUUACUUUGUGGUAUGUAAUAUAUAGUAUACACAUGAGAGAAUGAUAAAUAAAAGUAUAAUUACUGUUCAGAAGUUAACUUUCAGAAGCAGACCUGCAGCGGCAAGGGGCGGUAAAGGGUGGUAAAGUCCAAAUGUGAGUGAUCACCAUGAAGUUCUGAAGGGCUCUUAUUGAAAGUGACAAUUUUGACAUGUG
RNAcentral lists this long non-coding RNA (959 nucleotides) under Cyanistes caeruleus (blue tit). Its description in RNAcentral is "lncRNA (ENSCCEG00000019232.1)". Lineage: Eukaryota; Metazoa; Chordata; Aves; Passeriformes; Paridae. The record is from RNAcentral.